RNAcentral lists this ribosomal RNA (433 nucleotides) under uncultured bacterium. Its description in RNAcentral is "partial 16S ribosomal RNA". It matches the Rfam family "Bacterial small subunit ribosomal RNA", at positions 29 to 507 of the family's 1533-position model. The record is from RNAcentral.
AACGAACGCUGGCGGCAUGCCUAACACAUGCAAGUCGAACGAGACCUUCGGGUCUAGUGGCGCACGGGUGCGUAACGCGUGGGAACCUGCCCUUAGGUUCGGAAUAACUCCCCGAAAGGGGUGCUAAUACCGGAUAAUGUCUUCGGACCAAAGAUUUAUCGCCUUUGGAUGGGCCCGCGUUGGAUUAGCUUGUUGGGAGGGUAAAAGCCUACCAAGGCGACGAUCCAUAGCUGGUCUGAGAGGAUGAUCAGCCACACUGGGACUGAGACACGGCCCAGACUCCUACGGGAGGCAGCAGUGGGGAAUAUUGGACAAUGGGCGAAAGCCUGAUCCAGCAAUGCCGCGUGAGUGAUGAAGGCCUUAGGGUUGUAAAGCUCUUUUACCCGGGAUGAUAAUGACAGUACCGGGAGAAUAAGCUCCGGCUAACUCCGUG